This 396-nucleotide ribosomal RNA is filed under the name uncultured bacterium. RNAcentral describes it as "partial 16S ribosomal RNA". It matches the Rfam family "Bacterial small subunit ribosomal RNA", at positions 523 to 918 of the family's 1533-position model. The record is from RNAcentral.
AUACGGAGGGUGCAAGCGUUAAUCGGAAUUACUGGGCGUAAAGCGCACGCAGGCGGUUUGUUAAGUCAGAUGUGAAAUCCCCGGGCUCAACCUGGGAACUGCAUCUGAUACUGGCAAGCUUGAGUCUCGUAGAGGGGGGUAGAAUUCCAGGUGUAGCGGUGAAAUGCGUAGAGAUCUGGAGGAAUACCGGUGGCGAAGGCGGCCCCCGGGACGAAGACUGACGCUCAGGUGCGAAAGCGUGGGGAUCAAACAGGAUUAGAUACCCUGGUAGUCCACGCCGUAAACGAUGUCGACUUGGAGGUUGUGCCCUUGAGGCGUGGCUUCCGGAGCUAACGCGUUAAGUCGACCGCCUGGGGAGUACGGCCGCAAGGUUAAAACUCAAAUGAAUUGACGGGG